GUCAGAUAGGGGAGUGGUGAAGGGGGAGUAGAAACUAGCUAACAUUUAACAAACUCGUGAUAGUUUCGUGUGUGUGUGUGUGUGUGUGUGCGCGCGCGUGCCCCACGUAGCCAGAUUGAUUAUUAGAAGGUAUUAGAAGGGCUCCUCUGGCAGAACCAGUUUUCAUCUACUCAACAACCUCUUACUCAUGGGUCUUUAUAUAACUUAGGUGAAAGUAUGUCCAUAGGGGAACAGAAAAGAAAGCUGAGAAAGAUGUGCCAGGAGACUUGUGGGAACUAAUCCAAGUGCAACACCUCCUUACCACAAAGGAAAAGGACAGGGUAAAGGAAAUUGGAAAAACCCAUAAGAUGUAUUUGAGGUUCUUUCUAUUCCAGGGAAUUCUUGGUAUGAUAGGACAUGAAAGCUGAGAGAAAACCCUUCUACCUAGGAACUCCGGAGUUUCAACUACCAGAGACUGAAGGCAGGAGAGAAAAACUAAGACAAAUGACUUCAAAGCCUUUCUGAAAUGCCACAGAGGGUCAGGAUUACAAUCUGCCUAUUCUGAUUCUUCUACUAUGGGAAAAAAUCUUUUUCAGAAUUGGGCCUUUCUCUGUUGCCCAGGCUGGAGUGCAGUGAGGCAAUCUUGGCUCACCACAAUCUCUCCCUCCUGGAUUCAAGCAAUUCUCCUGCCUCAGCCUCCCGAGUAGCUGGGAUUACAGGCAUGCACCACUACACCCGGAUAAUUUUUGUAUUUUUAGUAGAGAUGGGGUUUUACCAUGUUGGCCAGGCUGGUCUUGAACUCCUGACCUCGUGAUCAGCCUGCCUCGGCCUCCUAAAGUGCUGGGAUUACAUGCAUGAGCCACUGUGCCCUGCCAACUUGUUAAAUUUUUAAUCAUUCUGCUCACCUUUUGCAACCUUACUGACUUUUGUGUCUACCUUAUCUAGCAGUGGCUGAAAUUUCCUUCUAUGAUUAUAGAUUUGUCUGUUAUUUCUUAUAGAUUUCUCAAUAUUGCUUGUAUUAUUAUUUUAAGUUAAUACCAUUAGGCAUAAAAAUUCAAAAUUGUUAUCGCUUACUGAAUAAAUAAAUCUUAAUCUAUUAUCAAGUAAUUCUUUUUCUUUAGAAAUCGUUUCUGACUGUAAGUUUGCUUUGUUUGAACUUUUG
RNAcentral lists this long non-coding RNA (1141 nucleotides) under Homo sapiens (human). Its description in RNAcentral is "HSALNT0343184". Lineage: Eukaryota; Metazoa; Chordata; Mammalia; Primates; Hominidae. The record is from RNAcentral.